GAUGAACGCUGGCGGCGUGCCUAACACAUGCAAGUCGAACGAAGCACCUUUUAAGAUUCUUCGGAUGAUUGAUCGGUGACUGAGUGGCGGACGGGUGAGUAACGCGUGGGUAACCUGCCCUGUACAGGGGGAUAACAGUUGGAAACGGCUGCUAAUACCGCAUAAGCGCACGAGAGGACAUCCUCUUGUGUGAAAAACUCCGGUGGUACAGGAUGGGCCCGCGUCUGAUUAGCUGGUUGGUAGGGUAACGGCCUACCAAGGCGACGAUCAGUAGCCGGUCUGAGAGGAUGAACGGCCACAUUGGAACUGAGACACGGUCCAAACUCCUACGGGAGGCAGCAGUGGGGAAUAUUGCACAAUGGAGGAAACCCUGAUGCAGCAACGCCGCGUGAGUGAAGAAGUAUUUCGGUAUGUAAAGCUCUAUCAGCAGGGAAGAUAAUGACGGUACCUGACUAAGAAGCUCCGGCUAAAUACGUGCCAGCCGCCGCGGUAA
This 493-nucleotide ribosomal RNA is filed under the name uncultured bacterium. RNAcentral describes it as "partial 16S ribosomal RNA". It matches the Rfam family "Bacterial small subunit ribosomal RNA", at positions 28 to 523 of the family's 1533-position model. The record is from RNAcentral.